RNAcentral lists this ribosomal RNA (254 nucleotides) under uncultured bacterium. Its description in RNAcentral is "partial 16S ribosomal RNA". It matches the Rfam family "Bacterial small subunit ribosomal RNA", at positions 524 to 776 of the family's 1533-position model. The record is from RNAcentral.
UACAGAGGGUGCAAGCGUUGUUCGGAAUUAUUGGGCGUAAAGGGCGCGUAGGCGGUUGGGCAAGUCACGUGUGAAAUCUCCACGCUCAACGUGGAGGCGCCACGUGAGACUGCCCUGACUCGAGUCCGGUAGGGGAGCGUGGAAUUCCCGGUGUAGCGGUGAAAUGCGCAGAGAUCGGGAGGAACACCCGUAGCGAAGGCGGCGCUCUGGGCCGGUACUGACGCUGAGGAGCGAAAGCGUGGGGAGCAAACAGG